CAGUCGCCGCGGUAAUACAGAGGAUGCAAGCGUUAUCCGGAAUGAUUGGGCGUAAAGCGUCUGUAGGUGGCUUUUUCAAGUCCGCCGUCAAAUCCCAGGGCUCAACCCUGGACAGGCGGUGGAAACUACCAAGCUGGAGUACGGUAGGGGCAGAGGGAAUUUCCGGUGGAGUGGUGAAAUGCGUUGAGAUCGGAAAGAACACCAACGGCAAAGGCACUCUGCUGGGCCGACACUGACACUGAGAGACGAAAGCUAGGGGAGCAAAUGGGAUUAGAUACCCCAGUAGUCCCUGUCUCUUAUA
RNAcentral lists this ribosomal RNA (301 nucleotides) under uncultured bacterium. RNAcentral describes it as "partial 16S ribosomal RNA". It matches the Rfam family "Bacterial small subunit ribosomal RNA", at positions 509 to 808 of the family's 1533-position model. The record is from RNAcentral.